CAGAACGAGAGAAUGAGCGUGAGAGGCAGCGCUGCCCCCUCUUCCCUGCAGCAGGAGCUCAGUACCACUCGGCAAUCCCAUCCGCCACACGCAACGUGGCAGCGACCGAGCCCCGCGCCCGACUUCCGUUUCCGGUGCUGAGCCGGUACCGUUGACUCUCCGGUUGCCCGGGAGCCCCUCGGAAACUAACAAUGCGAGGGGUCUCUGUUCCUUUUCUCUUCUAUUCUCGCCUAAGCUCCAGCUCUGCCUGACCCAGCGGCCAGCAGCCUGUCGGGUACAGCAGAAGCUCCCAAGUAGCUGAGAAGUUCGUGGAAUCUUCCUAUUGAUAAGGAUCCUGAGGUUUAAGGAAGCAAGUUGCUCAAAGGCACGUGGCAGAACUGUGACCCGAACCCAGACCAGUCUAACUCAGAAGUGUGCUAUUUCCACGACACCAAGCUUGCUCCCCUCCUAUGGGCCAAGCACUGUAAUCAGCGCUGAGGAUACUGAAGCGUUAAGACACGUGUUCAGGAAGAGCUCGUACUCCAGCAGAGGAGGCCUUCGGAAGAAGCGCAGAAGGCCCGGGGAAGAACCGUUACUGAUUUUCCCUUCCCCCAAUCAGAAACUUUUUGAAAAGCCUCUGAGGAGAGUCAGGACCCCUGAAAGGAGCACAUCGAGGCAGCAUCGCGUGGCAGUUUGGCGCGGGGACUCUGGGAGUCGGCAGGUGCCUGACACCCUGCGGUAAGUGCCUGGUCAGUUGUUACCAUCAGAAUCUCUGUCAUCCCCAGUUCUGACACCAAUUGCUCUGUUUCCUUGGGCAAAUUAGUUCAUUUCUGUGGUCCCCCUGUUCCUCCCAUGCCAGCGGAGCCCUCGACAGUUAGUAACUCCAGCGAAGCCUGAAAACGCAACACAAGCAGUGCAAAGGCAAUGCCAGUGAUCAAAAGAACCCACCCCGCUUGCUAUGUAGACGGAUAAUAUCAUUUCACUGGGGACCGCUCUCAGUAAGUGGGCUCUUUUUUCUCUGAAGAGCCUGAAUCUGUUCCUCAGGGCUGCUAAAACUGGCCUUGUUCUGCGGUCUGAUCUGCUGGCCGACCUGUGUCUACAUUACUAAAACUGGCCGGGAGCCCUGGCACCGUCCCGCCACGUGGGCCGCCAAAUCGCAAGGCCCUUUCUUUUGAGCAAAUAGCAUCGCACACGUUGCCAUCAAGAAAACGAAAGCAUUCACAGUGGCACAGCGUCCAGCUUCUCUCUGUGGCCUUUUGAAACAGUUUUGUGACCAGGGAGUGGCAAGAAACAAAGGUCUUUCUAUCUGAUCUGCUCACCAGGCCGGCGUCAGAUCAUGCAGGAGCCUGCACCCCUCUUCCCCCGGUACCAUCGGAUUGUUAUCGCUGCGCUUGUCUCCUCUCUCUGAGUAGGACGAGGCAGGCAGGCAGGCAGAGGAAUGUAUUUCAACUGCCCUUGACUCUGUUUAUAAUCAUCAACAUGAAAGGAAGGGAAAGAGAUUCAGUUUAUAGGACUGGCUCUUUGUGUAGCCUAAUUUAUCUCUCUCCAGCAGCAGUGGGCUGAGCAGGUUUCCUUUUUUGUUUCCGAUGCGGGAAGCUGAAAUAUGAAUCUAUGUUGAUGAGAGAAUAAAGGAAUUGAAAGAGGCAUAAGUCUUAUCUUCUCGCAACCCUAGGAGAUCAGCUCUUUGUGACGAAGGGGAUUAUACUUCUGUAAUUAACUGCUUUGCAGCUCCUGGUGAUGGCUCAGGCCUGAAUAAUGGCACCCAGAGAAGUUGGAUAAAAGGCGGGCAGGUGGGUGCAGCCACGAUCAUGAACAACGGUCUCAGGGCUUGACAUCCUUUCCCAGCGCCCAGCUCGCAGAGGGUCAAGCCAGGAGAUAUUUGUCCCCUGUCCCAGCAACAUUCACAGCAGAGAGAAUAGAAUUCCAGAACAAAUAUUUAAAGCUCAUAGAGACCUGUUCCUCUGUAGGCUGGUAGCUGCCCUGAGGUACCUUGAAGACCUAAGCCAGGCUGUACACCCUUUGUGUUCCCGCCAGUGCCCGGGACCUGGUAGGUGCUGACCAAAGCUUGGUGAAGGUGACUGCCCCUUUCCAGCUGUGGGAUUUGGGGAAAGUUGUCUAAUUUCUCUGAUCUUCAGUAUACCAUCCACAAAAUGCAAGGGGUCUUGUAGAGUUUGGGGUAAGAAGAGUUCAGAUCAUGAUAAACAAAUGACUUAUCACAUCGCCUGGCACACAUGGCAAGGGAUCAAUAAAUGCUAGCUGUUAUUAUUACAUUGUGGAAUACAGAUGGGUGGCGAGCUCAUCACUGUUUACGACUGCCUUAUCAUGCAAGGCGCCAUACAUACCUUCGUGCCUGAAAGCCUCACAUCGUCCUUGUCAGGUAAGCAGGAUCCUUCCCCCCAUUUCACUGAUGACAAAACAGGCUCAGACUGGAACAGUGACCUGCUCGAGGUAAAGGGCAGUACAGGAGACUGGAAGCCGGGUGUUCUGUCCUGGGCCCCUCCCCUCCCCUCCACACCAGCCUCCCAGGCCCUCAGCCUGUUCCUCGACAGGUGUGUCUGCCCAUCACUCUCCAGACCUCAUCACCCCAGGAUCAAACCUCUGGGCCAUCUUUUUGCUUCCUUUUUUGCUCCCUGCCUGUGUCACUGAGUCCUAGAGAUUCUUGAGAUGUUUUCAGAACUUCUCCCUACUCAAUCCUGCUGCCACUUAACACUGGCCCAGCACCUGGUCGUUUGAUAACCAGGUUUCCUACAGCGAGCAGGCUCUUGAGUGGUGUCUAAGGGAGGGCGAAGCUCCCUUCCCAUCACCCCCGACACCAGUGCCAGGUGAGUGGUCCCAACCUCCACUUCCCUGUCCUUCC
This is a long non-coding RNA of Aethalodelphis obliquidens (Pacific white-sided dolphin), 2836 nucleotides long. RefSeq lists it as uncharacterized. The record is from RefSeq and is a predicted model, not a curated record. NCBI's taxonomy places the organism in Eukaryota, Metazoa, Chordata, Mammalia, Artiodactyla, Delphinidae. The transcript is spliced from 4 exons.